UAGGGAAUAUUGGACAAUGGGGGCAACCCUGAUCCAGCCAUGCCGCGUGAGUGAAGAAGGCCCUCGGGUUGUAAAGCUCUUUUGUCCGGAAAGAAGAGCAUUCGGUGAAUACCCGGAUGUUCUGACGGUACCGGAAGAAUAAGCACCGGCUAACUUCGUGCCAGCAGCCGCGGUAAUACGAAGGGUGCAAGCGUUACUCGGAAUUACUGGGCGUAAAGCGUGCGUAGGUGGUUGUUUAAGUCUGAUGUGAAAGCCCUGGGCUCAACCUGGGAAUGGCAUUGGAAACUGGGCAGCUAGAGUGCGGUAGAGGGUAGUGGAAUUCCCGGUGUAGCAGUGAAAUGCGUAGAGAUCGGGAGGAACAUCCGUGGCGAAGGCGACUGCCUGGACCAGCACUGACACUGAGGCACGAAAGCGUGGGGAGCAAAC
Molecule: ribosomal RNA, 426 nt
Filed under: uncultured bacterium
Lineage: Bacteria
Description: bacterial SSU rRNA
Rfam family: Bacterial small subunit ribosomal RNA
Source: RNAcentral